GGUCCCACGCAUCAGCCUUCUGUUCGGCAGCCGUUCCUCCCAGUGUCCUUCCAGCCACGCUCUGUUUGACCUAGGCUGCUUCUGGGAUUGGUGGUUUUGGAGGUUCUAGUGCCCCAGGGAAGAAUACCUCUAAGAUGGGACAGUAAUGAUUCCAUCAAAUUGAAAAUUGGGACCAACUGGCUUCUCAUGCUGCUGAAUCAACAGACAAAUCUCUCUUCCUCGACUUCCUGGAUUAUUGACCUGACAUCUGUCAAUCAACCCCAAUCCAUCGUGCCACUGGAAGUCCUGCUGACAGACAGAUCGGUGGUGUGUCAACAGACCCAUUUGUCAAAUGGAAAUUGGAAGAAACCUAAAGCAACACAGUAGAUGAUGGAAAACGAAGUCAUUUAUUCCAGAUAUAGCUCAUUCCCAGUAGGUCUCUGCUAUGGCAUUUCCUCUUCAUACUGUAUUUUUUUUUUUCCAGCUCAAGGUCAAAUUCAAAAAUGUGCAUGCUGACA
Molecule: non-coding RNA, 497 nt
Organism: Microcebus murinus (gray mouse lemur)
Lineage: Eukaryota; Metazoa; Chordata; Mammalia; Primates; Cheirogaleidae
Source: RefSeq, a predicted model, not a curated record